CAGAUACUCCCUCCGUCCAACAAAAAAUGUCUCAAGUUUGUCAAAUUUAGAUGUAUCUAGACAUGACUUAGUGUAUAGAUGCAUUCAAAUUCGAUCAAAGUUGAGACAUCCUUUGUUGGACGGAGGGAGUACUAU
This is a non-coding RNA of Brachypodium distachyon (stiff brome), 135 nucleotides long. NCBI's taxonomy places the organism in Eukaryota, Viridiplantae, Streptophyta, Magnoliopsida, Poales, Poaceae. The record is from Rfam.